AUCCCUACGGGGGGCAGCAGUCGGGAAUAUUGCGCAAUGGAGGAAACUCUGACGCAGUGACGCCGCGUGCAGGAAAAAGGUUUUCGGAUUGUAAACUGCUUUAGACAGGGAAGAAACAAGACAGUACCUGUAAAAUAAGCUCCGGCUAACUACGUGCCAGCAGCCGCGGUAAUACGUAGGGGGCAAGCGUUAUCCGGAUUUACUGGGUGUAAAGGGAGCGUAGACGGCGAUGCAAGUCUGAAGUGAAAGCCCGGGGCUCAACCCCGGGACUGCUUUGGAAACUGUA
RNAcentral lists this ribosomal RNA (286 nucleotides) under uncultured bacterium. Its description in RNAcentral is "partial 16S ribosomal RNA". It matches the Rfam family "Bacterial small subunit ribosomal RNA", at positions 335 to 637 of the family's 1533-position model. The record is from RNAcentral.